Molecule: long non-coding RNA, 101 nt
Organism: Oncorhynchus kisutch (coho salmon)
Lineage: Eukaryota; Metazoa; Chordata; Actinopteri; Salmoniformes; Salmonidae
Exons: 3
Source: RefSeq, a predicted model, not a curated record
UGCUCUUCCGCUCUGAAGUGUGUAACAACUCACCUGCCGAAUCAACUAGCCCUGAAAAUGGAUGGCGCUGGAGCGUCGGGCCCAUACCCAGCCAUCGCCGG